RNAcentral lists this non-coding RNA (24 nucleotides) under Arabidopsis thaliana (thale cress). The record is from RNAcentral. Lineage: Eukaryota; Viridiplantae; Streptophyta; Magnoliopsida; Brassicales; Brassicaceae.
CAAGCUUCUUCAGCUAACCAAGUU